CCUACGGGAGGCAGCAGUGGGGAAUAUUGCACAAUGGGGGGAACCCUGAUGCAGCAACGCCGCGUGGGUGAAGAAGUACUUCGGUAUGUAAAGCCCUGUCAGCAGGGAAGAAAAUGACGGUACCUGACCAAGAAGCCCCGGCUAACUACGUGCCAGCAGCCGCGGAAAUACGUAGGGGGCAAGCGUUAUCCGGAUUUACGGGGUGUAAAGGGAGCGUAGGCGGCAAGGCAAGUCUGGAGGGAAAUCCCGUGGCUCAACCACUGGCCUGCUUUUGAAACUGGGUUGCUGGAGUGCAGGAGGGGUAAGCGGAAUUCCUGGUGUAGCGGGGAAAUGCGUAGAUAUUAGGGAGAACACCGGUGGCGAAGGCAGCUUACUGGACUGUAACUGACGUUGAGGCUCGAAGGCGUGGGGAGCAAACAGGAUUAGAUACCCUAGUAGUC
RNAcentral lists this ribosomal RNA (440 nucleotides) under uncultured bacterium. RNAcentral's name for it is "partial 16S ribosomal RNA". It matches the Rfam family "Bacterial small subunit ribosomal RNA", at positions 338 to 795 of the family's 1533-position model. The record is from RNAcentral.